UCGUCUGUGUGGGUCUGUAAUUAAACCUGGGAACAAAUCUGAAUCGAGCGACAAGUUGUCGCAAAAUGGCUUCCAAGUGCAAGUUCCAGCCGAAUGCAGUGCAAAACACGUAACUUCUCCCAGCAAUUACGAUUGCCAGCUAAAUUUGUGUUGUUGCUUGCUGCUCAUUCACCAGAUGUCUGGAUUCUGGAGGUUUCUUAUUCCUGUUUGUCUUCUGUUACUUGUAAAUCACAGUACCGAGUUUGAUGCAUCCAAAAUUCGUCCUCAGAGCAGUCAUCUUGGCUGUCUUGGUUGCCUUGGCAACUUGUCAAGAAUGUAGCCAUGAAGACAAAGAAGGUUACAUCAUCGAUGUCCACACCUCAGAGAAGAACGGUGCUGUUUUUAUGUCUGAUGCCAAAACGUUGACUAAAGAAAGCUGCCAAAAUGCUUGCUGCAACUUAGAAGAAGACACACUAGAUGACGGAAGCCUAGCCAGAUGCAAUUUAGCAGUCUUCCACAGCAGCAAUGAGAUACAGAGUAAAUCCAAAAACUGUUUCCUGGUCUUCUGUCCGUCCAAAAACUCCUGCCAUCUGACCAGGGUGAAAGGUUUCACUUCCAGCUAUGUGACACACACACUGGUCCCAGAGACAACUGACCCAGAAGUCUUGUCUAACCAGCCUCCCCGCCCCAAGUUCUACCGCCCCGAUUCUCCACCCAUCAACUUCCAUAAGUUAUUCAGGAGAAGUAAUGCCGACGGGAAGCCUGGGUCUAGUAUGGGCGGUGCCGCCAAACAGGCCGAGACACUCUUGGAAACUGCCAAGAAGCUUGUGGAUGCAGGAGCUGGGUCCUCAUCCAGCCAGGCUGACAAGCAGGUGGCUUUGCAGGAGGGGAACCUCCUGAGCGCACUGGCUCAGGAUGCUCUUGGCACCAUGCAGAAAAGGGCAAAGGCCGCAAAGAAGAAACCCAAGCUCAUCACCACACCGAAAAUUUCCGUAAAAACGACAGGCAAGAAACCUCAGCAAACCACAUCUUCAUCUGCCACAGCUCCCCUCGUCAAAGUCACCACUCACGGUCCGCUGUUAAACAGACUACUACACAAAGCUCUCAAACGGAAUCUCCCAAACUGAAGAUGACCUCUCCUAGUCCAAAAGAAGGAACUCCAACCAGUGCGCGAUUAGCCGGGAUGCAAGGGUCUACCAGGCCACUGUCUACUCCUCAGAUGCCUGUCUUGACUCCAGCUUCCACCAACCCAGCUAUCUCUCCCCUGCUUGCCAAAUCCACUUCCUCGGAAACCACAGAGGCAUCCACGCUUCUUCCCGAGAUCAAUUCAACCCUGCCUUUGAGUACAAGAGAGCCAACUCCAAGUCCCGAUGAAGC
Molecule: unclassified non-coding RNA, 1356 nt
Filed under: Acanthaster planci (crown-of-thorns starfish)
Lineage: Eukaryota; Metazoa; Echinodermata; Asteroidea; Valvatida; Acanthasteridae
Description: mANSC domain-containing protein 1-like, transcript variant X2
Source: RNAcentral